RNAcentral lists this long non-coding RNA (270 nucleotides) under Homo sapiens (human). RNAcentral's name for it is "HSALNT0091536". The record is from RNAcentral. Lineage: Eukaryota; Metazoa; Chordata; Mammalia; Primates; Hominidae.
GUUGAAUUGAAAGAAACACAGUCUAGCCACCAAAAAACAUGGAUCUCUCCUCAUGGCAGCUGUAGGAAACACAGGAACUCCGUGACCUGGAAAAUGUGGGACAACUGCCACAAGGUUGAGUACCAGUAGAAACCUCAUAUUUACCUGGAAGAUUACUUUUAGGAAGCUUGAAGAAUUCUCUCUUCCAACUUGGUUGGAUUUCCUGUAAGAUUUUAAAUGAAGAAAGUCUUCUACUGCUGUAUAAAGAAAAAAAAAAGAAGAAGAAAGGUA